RNAcentral lists this ribosomal RNA (681 nucleotides) under Pristimantis suetus. RNAcentral describes it as "partial 12S ribosomal RNA". It matches the Rfam family "Bacterial small subunit ribosomal RNA", at positions 312 to 1407 of the family's 1533-position model. Lineage: Eukaryota; Metazoa; Chordata; Amphibia; Anura; Strabomantidae. The record is from RNAcentral.
AGCUGAUAUCAGGCACGCCCAAGACAUCUAGCCAANCCACACCCANAAGGGACCUCAGCAGUGAUUAAUAUUAAAAAUAAACGUAAGUUUGAUUUAGCCAAUGAAAACAGAGCCGGCCAAUCUGGUGCCAGCCGCCGCGGUUACACCACAAGGCUCAAGUUGAUUCGGCGUAAAGCGUGAUUAAAGUGGGAUUAAACCUGAACUAAACUGUAGCACGUUUGUUCCAAAGAAAACCACACCUCGAAAGAUAUCCCAUAACAAACUUGAACUCACGACAACUAAGACACAAACUGGGAUUAGAUACCCCACUAUGCCUAGUCGUAAACUUUAAAUUACACCGCCAGGAAACUACGAGCAAAGCUUAAAAUCCAAAGGACUUGACGGUACCCCACAUCCCCCUAGAGGAGCCUGUCCUAUAAUCGAUACCCCGCGUUUAACCUCACCAUUUUUAGCAGCCUGUAUACUUCCGCCGCCAGCUUACCGCAUGAGCGAGUAAGCUUAAUGUCAAAACGUCAGGUCAAAGUGCAGCAAAUAAAAUGGAAAGAGAUGGGCUACACUUUCUACUAUAGAAAAUACGAUAAGACUAUGUGAAAUAGAAGGUGGAUUUAGUAGUAAGAGGGGAAUAGAACGCCCCCCUUAACUCGGCACUGGGGUGUGUACACACCGCCCGUCACCCUCUUC